Long non-coding RNA from Sapajus apella (tufted capuchin), 2071 nucleotides. RefSeq lists it as uncharacterized. The record is from RefSeq and is a predicted model, not a curated record. The transcript has 2 exons. NCBI's taxonomy places the organism in Eukaryota, Metazoa, Chordata, Mammalia, Primates, Cebidae.
CACCUAGGAGACUGCCGGGCUCUAGUGGCCAAAAUGCAGUGCUGAGAAGCUGGAGCUGCUUGCUUUUAUUCAGUGCAGGCACAAUGCCGAAAAUGUGGAGCCACAACACAACCUGCAGGUAAUUAACAUUUAUUGUUCCCCUUUCAGGGAAAGUCAUGUGCAUGGAUGAUCAAAGGUCAGUUCCCAGUCAGCAUAAGUAAACAAGCCUGUUAAAAUAAUUCCCCCACAUUCCCUUGUACCUACUCCUUGCCCUCUGCCUCAGGGUUAUAGAACAGCUGCCUUCAGCUAUUCUAUAACCUCCUGACCUUUCAGAAAGUUUGUGUCCUUCCCCUACAGUUUUUCCCACCACUCUGACCAAUCAGUCCCCCCUUAUCUUUUAUAAAUCUGGUCCUUUUUCCUGUCUUCUAACUGUUGCAGCAGCUUCUUCCUUGGCAAUUGCAGGAUCUGGGAAUCAUCUUACAAAGCCUGAAACUGAUUUUACUUGCUUACCCAAGAGUCAUGAAGACGAGAAAUGGAUAUCUGACCAAAUGUAACAUCAGGGUUCAGUCCCCUCUAAUUCCACUUUAGGGUAUACUGAUACAGCCUGGCUCUUCACUAAAGUCCAAGAAUCCAAUUGUUCCCAACCCCUUAAGGGUCCAGAGGUUUAUUGGAUCUUACAAGCAUCCUGCGUUGUUGCUGGGGUGUGUUCACACGUUGAGCAGGUGAAGAGUGAGGAUGUGGAGGUGCAUAUGAAUGAGACCUCUGUGGCAGAGGGCAGUCCCAAAGAGUCACCUGUCCUGGUCACAGUAAGAGCAUGGACACUAUAGUCCUGCCACUGCUUCUGGGGACUUACCCAGUGUUCCUCCAGCAAGUACUUUUCUUGGCUCCCAGCCCUGGCAUAGGUAUAAGAACUGAGCAGAAAUCAAUCAGAAUGGAGACCACCUUUUUUCCCUUGCUUCUGUGAUACAUUAUCUCUUAUGGUAAUCUUUACCAUAAGGGAGAGGUUAAAAGAGGACACCUUUUCACUUCUUUUCAUAUCAUAGAGGUGUUUGAUCGUCCAUUCAACAGAGCUUCACAGCCCAUCCAAAAGUCUGAGAUUCCUCUGUUUACUUCUCUUUGGUGGGCUCAUAAAUACAGUCACGUGCCACAUGACAACAUUUCAGUCAACAAUAGAUCAUGUAUGUGACAGUGGUCCUGUAUGACUAUACUGCCAUGUUUUUAUCGUGCCUUUUCUAUCUUUAGAUAUCUUUGGGUAUGCAAAUGCUUAUAAUUGCCUGCAAUAUUCAGUAUAGUAACAUGCUAUACACGUUUGUGGGCUAGGAGUGAUAGGUUACACCAUAUAGCCUAGGAGUAUAGGAGGUUACACUAUCUAGGUUUGUAUAACUAAACUCUAUGAUGUUUCCACAAUGAGGAAAUCACCAUCGAUGAUGCAUUUCUCAGGACACAUUCCUGUCAUUAACCAACGAGGAUAUGCUCUACAGUUGAGAAUGACUGUAUUUGAGAAUAGGAAGGAAACAGGUACUUUUUGCUAUGGCAAUAUAAAAUAAAACACAGCUUAGGGUCUCUGCAGGUCUCACUAUCACUAGUUAAAUCUUUUCAAGAUACCUUGUUAUAUAAAAUGUUAAGGAAUUAAUUUAUAAAGCAGAAUACUGAUUUUUCAGUUUAACAUAGAUGCCAGAAUCUAUCCCUGACCUCAGUGUGUGACUUCUGCUGGAGAACUGGUGUUGGCCCUAUCAGAAAACAGCAAGGUGUUGUCGUGGAGUCUCUGCCCAGCCUGAGUUGGUAAAUGGAGCCCUUGUCUAAGACAACCUGAGAAACUGAUAUCAGAAAGGCACAUUGAGGCAGGGAGUCAAUAAGCCAGUUCAGUCACAGUUGGUUGUUAGAGGAAGAGGCCAAAAGUAGGGAUCCAAAGGUAGAGUGUUGGGGAAGGCAUGGGGAAGUGGGCAAUGGCAAAACAGAGGCAGAAGUGUAGAACCAUAGAGAAAAGGUAUUCUUGAUCACCACAUGAGGCUACACUCCACCAACAUGGAAUAAACUGGGGACAGUCCUGGACCAUUCAAUAAACUUGAAGUCUGAUGCUUGCUUUUCUGAG